Panicum virgatum (switchgrass) is the source of this 4925-nucleotide RNA transcript. RefSeq lists it as uncharacterized. The record is from RefSeq and is a predicted model, not a curated record. The transcript is spliced from 3 exons. Lineage: Eukaryota; Viridiplantae; Streptophyta; Magnoliopsida; Poales; Poaceae.
CAAAUAUUGUUUUGUAGUUGCGACAGAAAAAGUAGAUUUUUGUGAGAGUUGGAGGAGACAAACAAACAUUUUCCGGUCGAUCGUUAGAAUUGAGCCCAUCUACAAGAAACACAGCCGAAUUGGGCCAGAGAAUCCUCUCAAAGAAGAAAGAAGAAGAAGAAGAAGAAGAAAAAUCUUCCUUCAACAGCAUCCUCGCUUUCCCUGGCUCCUCCUCGCCGUCCUCCGGCGGCCGCGCUCCCUCACGCGCCACCGCAAGCUGCCGGGUCAUCACGGGACUCAUGAGAUGCGGUAGUUGCCGCACCGGCGCGGCAGAAAGGAGAGGCGGCGCAGGGUAUUGACUGAAUCGGCGCUGCCGUCUCCGAUUCGCCGUCACGGCAGGGCGCGAGAGCUUGCAGCACCUGUAUAAAUUAAAGGUUCUCCUUUUCACAAUUCUAGCUUGAUUUCGUGAAUACAGAGAAGGAAUUAGAUUACCGCUGUUACUGUAGAUCUCCCUACCUUGCCGUCAGUCAGAUGUCCAAUAAGCGCCGGGAACAUGACCAAGAUGCCGCCGGCGGCGGCGACAAGAGGCCACGGCGUCGCAAGCACCUGUACCUCGUGCUGGAUGAUUGGGACAAGGGGUUCAGCAUCCACAAGAUCGACGUUGACAGCUUCGACUCCGACGACCAGCACAACAAUGCUGCCCAGCACCUCCCUGAGCCACCAGUCCUGCGGUUACAGUCGCCUGUCGGCCCUGUGCCCCAAACUGGCAUGUCAUUCUCCGCUCUGGGCACCAAGAUCUUCACCUUCAUGAACCAACACUGCGGCCUCAUCUACGACACCGAGACGGCCGUCCUGGCAAUCGGCGCCCAUGCCCCUGCCCAGAUGGUCUGCGGCUUUGGCAUCACCGUGGCCGUCGGCGAGAUGCUCUAUGCGCUGUCUUAUCGCUUCUCCGACAAGCAGCACUCCUUCGAGGUGAUGUCAUGGGAUGCGACGCAGCAUCCGAUGGAGGGCUGGUCCUGGAAGAUGUUGCCGCCACCGCCCCCGGCGUUCCACGGCCGCGUUAGCUCCUACGCACUGCACCCGGACGGGCGCUCCAUCUUCAUGACCACGGCUAACAGAGGCCGCAUGGGCACCUACUCGUUCGACACCAAGGAUUCUGCGUGGAGGUGGCAUGGGGAAUGGGCCUUGCCAUUCCUCGGCCGAGCUCACUUCGAUGGUGAGCUCAACGCAUGGGUCGGCCUUCACCAGGAUGGCUACAUCUGUGCUUGCCGAGUCGCCUCCCCCAGCUGCCAUGGCACGACUGCUCCGACAUUGCAGCUGGAUUGCCAGACAACCAAGGAGAGAUUGUUCGGCAAGGGCCUGGAGAGGUACAUGAGGGCCUCUCUUGCCUAUGUGGGCAUGAGCAGGUUCUGCCUCGUCGAGUGCGUGGCACGGGAGGGAGUGGAGGGACAAGCUCUGGGAGACCAUGGCGGCUGUGUGAUCCAUCUCACCAUGUUUGGGCUCAAGUACAAUCACAAGGGAGAGCUGCAGAUUUCAGAUCACCUGUCCACGCGCUCCUUCUUAGUGUCUAGGCACAAGAAUCACUUCGGUCCUGUAGCAUUCUGGAUGUAGAAGUUGUUUUGGCUUGUUCCAAAAUGCGCCACUGGCCACCUGAAUCUGGCUGUCACAACUGGUUCAUGUCGUGCUUUAUCCUGCUAGAAAAAAUGGAAUUAAUAAAAAAGCAUUGUUACCUUGGAAGUUGUGUGUUGAUCCAUAAGUUCCUUUUUUUUUCCUCGUAUGGAAGUUAUUGAUGUUUGUUACAGUGAUACUUGAUCUGUUAUGUAGGAAGAGGCCUAUAUAUGGUCCUGUGUCUCAACUCUCAACAACUGAGAGGUGAUACUCUUGCUCUUAGCAAAGCAGGCUAAAUUUAGCCAUUGGACCUCAGAUCUUUAGAUCUGCACCAAAAUAAGUUCUGCUAUUAAAUAAAAGAUCUAGUAGGUCGGAGCAUGGUACCUUUUUGCGUUUGGGAUUAGUAGCAUGUUACCUCUAGUGUUCAAUUAUAUUCGAAGAUGUAGAUUGGUGCAACAGCAGUACUACCAUUCAUCAGUUUUCAGUUCUGUCCAUGCAAUACCAUUAUCUCUCUGUUAGUUCUUGUAGUUGAUCUGCCAACUGCAAGUAAAAUGUCAAUGACAGAGGAAAAACAAUCUUCUUUUUUUUUUCUUUGCAAGCUUACCUAAGGAAAACUAACAUGAUAGGCUUUAGGCAGCUAGUCAGAGAAAUGUGGUAAUACCACCCUGGGAAAUUUAGAUGUUGGGGUAAUACCACUCGUCUGUCUGAAGCAUGGGUCACUCUGUUUUUCCCUUUGUUUCACUUCUUGGAGGCGACACACACAGUUUUGAAGCUUAGGUGAGGCGAUUUGACCCUCCAUUUGAUGAUUUAGAUCCUCUUGUUCCCCUUUGGAUUUGCUCUUUGCUUGUCUACUGCAGUUGUUUUGUCCAGUAAAAUCAGUUCAGUUAUGUUCCGCACUGGUUUGUGGAUUUAUCGAUUAGGGUUUGGAAAUUUCAUGAUUCCUCGAUUCCCUGCUUCUAGUCUAAUUCUAUUAGUUCAAUUGGCUCGGUUGGUGGUUUGAUUUGAAAUUUACAUGAUUAGUUUGGUGCACUCGUUAUUUUUAAUUUUAGGCAGUUGUGUAGCUGAUUUUGGUUAGACAUUUUACGCUUCGCCCCGAUUCUCUUUGAUGAUUGAUUCUUGUUGAGAUUGGCGAUAUGCUGAAUCAGUAGUAGUAGUUGUUGUUGUUAGUCACACCCCCUCACAGGCUUUUGCAGCCUGCUUUAGAUUUUCAGCAUAUCUGAAUCAUUCAUGCUUCUCAUGUUGUUUUAUUCCCUGCUUAUCAUGAUGAUUUGUCCUUCAGUAAAAUAGUUGUUUUUAAUCUGUCCCAUUGAUUGUUAUCUGGAGGUUAUCACUCAUCCAUCAAUGUAAUCAGUUCAUCUAGAAUUCAUAGCAAAAUAUCUGUUUAAUCUGUUCAAUUUGUUGUCAUCUGGGGGUUCUUAAUCAUUCAGAAUCUUUUCUGAAAUUCAUAGUACAUCUGGAAUCUUUAACGAGUUUGUAUAUAUGAAAAUGCUUAUUAAAGCAGAAAUUUGACCAUGCAUUAAGAAUCUUUUUAAUUAUAGCAAUUUGAUCAAAAUCCAACGGUUCUAAAAUCUGAGUGUCGGGUCUUCCAUAUGCUAUUUACAAUGAUAACUUUCAAUCAAUUAUAGCGCAUUGUUAUUCAAAAAAUGAUGGUUGAUAUGAUGGAAUGUUGCCUUUUUAGAUUUGUGUUAUUCAAAAAAUUUUGUUCCCUGAAAUAUCUUUGAAGCAGCAAUCAUUUUUUAUUUGAUAAAGAUGCAGCAACAGCAAUGACUUUCCAUGUGCAUUGAUUAAAAUUUGUGCUCAUCAGACUUGUUUCUGUCUAAUUCCUUUAUGACCAAUGCUAGUAUAUGGAUGUCUCUAAUGAUUUGAAUAUAAAUCAGGACAAAGAAUUUUCUGUAUUCAUUAUUAGUGCCUUUUUUUGUGCAGUUAUUAUUUUGCACCAUUUGGUUGAAAUCAGGUGGUUCCAAAUUCGGGUGGCAGAUGGACCUGCAGCACUCGAUUCCCCCUCCCCUUCCAAAUCGAGUGUUUUAGGCAAUUAAUUUACUUGGGUGAUGGUGGGUGGGGCCACCAUAAUGCCGGGGUGACAGGUAGACAGAUCCCGAACCGUGUCCAUAAUUUCCAAGUGUACCUGAUUUCGUGCUCUCAUUUUUGGCAGUGCUGAUGCCAUCAUUUGUUGAAGCCAAAUAAAAUGCCUACCUUUCAUACUGCUGAACCCUAUUAAUAUUGGUGUUAUCUGUGUCAGUGAUUGCAGAAGGUAGCUCAUUUGUGGAGCAACAUGACAAUGCUAAAGUGCCACAAACAGAGCAAGUAAAGGAGUCUAAUGCUAUUCUAUUUGCUGAGAUAAGUGAGACAAUGCAGAAACAGAGCAUUUCUUGUGGUGGCCAACUUAUACAGAGAGCACUGCACGAGGGAGCGGCACAAACUAUACAAGAAUGGGCCUGCUACCCCUGCCUCAUGGCUUCAUAUCAAUAAACAGCCUGUUCGGCUGGAUGUUUUUGCCGUGGCCGAUACUGUAGCGGAUGAUUUUUUUGUGAGAAGAUACACACUGUAGCGGCUGGUCACUGUAGCGGCUGAUUACUGUAGCAGCUACAUGCGAUAUAGCCUCGAUUCCACGAGGGAGCGCAUACUGCACUAAUACUGUAGCUACAGAGUUACUGCAGCUACAGUGAAUCGGCCGGAAUCAGACCAGUGCAGCCGAACAGGGCGAAAAUAGCUUUGGGAGUCGGAGUUGCUGAGAUAAGUGAGACAAUGCAAAAGCAGAGCAUCUCAAGUGAAAGCCAGGGUAAUGCACAAGGGAAGCAGCAAAGAUGCAAGGAAUGUGACGUACUCGUGGAUGACAAGCAACACAGAGAGCACUGCAAGAGUGGGUGGCACAAGCACAAUUACACGCGCCACAAGAACGGGCUACCGCCUUUCAGCCAAGAGGAGUGCAUGGUGGAGAUGGAACUGGCCGACUCCAAGGACCUUAAAGACUAUGCUUUCUGAUUAGGGCUAAGUAAAGGGAAGGGCGCAGGACAUGAAGGUGCUGCUGCGGUCCUUUUUUCUUCUUCUUCUUCUUUCCCCCCUUGAGGACAGAUAUGGUCGAGUGCGGGUACUGUAUAGUGGAGCGGGUAACCAAGUUUUACGAGAUGGUAGACAAGUUGUUGGAAUGGAUGUGAUGGCCUAGCUGGAUAGUUUAGGUGCAAUAGAGUAUGUCAGUUUGGGAUAUUGAACCUGGCUGUAUGGAAGGCUUUUGUAUGUAAAGCCGAAUAAACUCGUGGUUGUAGCAAGCGUUUGGGAACUUGAAACUUUGUUUGUUACGUUGGAAAAAGUUGAUAUGACUUAGGAGAUCCUUUCUGGUU